RNAcentral lists this long non-coding RNA (519 nucleotides) under Anas platyrhynchos (mallard). RNAcentral's name for it is "lncRNA (ENSAPLG00020017847.1)". The record is from RNAcentral. Lineage: Eukaryota; Metazoa; Chordata; Aves; Anseriformes; Anatidae.
AUGGAGAUAAUUAAAUGCGAAACUAAAGCGUUAAGAAAACCCAACCAAGCGCUCAAAAGCUGGUGCUUUCCCACAUUUAAGGGUCUGGCUGCAAAGCUUAACUCUGCUGCAUAUCCUCCUCUCCAUUUUUACAGUACCGUCAGCACCAGAAAGGAUUACGUCUCGGCCCUGGUGUUGAGUCCUGUGGUUUUCACCAGCAGCCUCGUAGCUUGCUCGCAUCCAAGAUUUGCUGAUUUUUGCAUUGCCCGAAUUGGAAAGAAAGGGUCAUUUGGAAAUGUGUUCAGACACAGUAACAAUCUGCAAUCAGCCGCCGUACCAGAACCUGGCGCAGCUCUUGGUCUUGGGGUCGUAGUACCACUUCAGCACGAAGUCCCUGCAGGUCCCCUCUUCCUUCUGCAGCCGGCAGAUGUCCGUGGCUGCAAGGAAAAGCAGGAGCACCAAGGGAAAAAUAAACCAAGAUAUGCCGAGUACACCAGCAACAAGUGGUCAGGAAAUCCAGGACCUGAAAUUGCCUUGUGA